This 570-nucleotide long non-coding RNA is filed under the name Coturnix japonica (Japanese quail). RNAcentral's name for it is "lncRNA (ENSCJPG00005018395.1)". Lineage: Eukaryota; Metazoa; Chordata; Aves; Galliformes; Phasianidae. The record is from RNAcentral.
CAUGCAAAGUGGUGCACCUCCAACUGGCUAGUUAUAACUCAUCUCCAUGGCUUUUUAUUUGCAGAUGGUUUGUGAAUGAACAGGUCAAUCCACACACAACUCAACCAACUGCAUUUCUUGGAUGCUGCUGUGAGGUGUGCUGCAGACUGUGGCAGAAGAAACACAGAAUAACUAAGUGAACUGCGAUAAACAGUCAAAUAUCUCCUGCUACGAGAGAUACCAAAACGUAUUUUGGGGUGAGCAAGGAGACGGGGAUAUACGAUUAACACCACCUUACACAUCCAUUCCCGCUCAAGGAUCCAACGGUUCUCAGUUGGGUAUUGUCUUGGCUUUGCUGAAGUGUUUCCGAACUGCAAGCAUUGGAAAACACUGCUCUCUUGUGGUUGAAGCGAGAAAAUAACAGAUGGAAAAGACAAAAGGGUUUUUCUGUUUUUUCUCUUCAAUGCUAGAUUUACUACUAUCAACUUAAAUGCAGUACAAAAUGUAGUGUUACUUGUUUGAGAAUAUUCUCAAUAUAUUUUGGAAUUCCUAAUAUUUAAAUUUAAUAUUUUUUUCUUUGUUACCACGGAC